Molecule: long non-coding RNA, 4861 nt
Filed under: Monomorium pharaonis (pharaoh ant)
Lineage: Eukaryota; Metazoa; Arthropoda; Insecta; Hymenoptera; Formicidae
Description: uncharacterized LOC118644557
Source: RNAcentral
AACAAAAGGAAUGAAUUUAUUUUUAAUCUGAAAAACCACACACACACACACACACACACACAAAAGUAAAAAAAAACAAAACUUUAAAACUUAAAAUAUAUAAUUAAAAAAUUUUUAUGAAUAGAUCAUGUAUCAUGUAAAUUACCUCUAGAAGGUGACAAUACAGAAUUAUAAUACAAUACAAUAUUAAGUCACCUUUCGACGGAUGCACUGUUUGAUAAAACUACAUUAAAUUUAAUAAAUGAUUCUUUUAAUUUCGGAGAAUUAUAUAAUAAUUCCAUAUCAGAUAAUUGGUUGAUAACUGAAAACUGAAUUGUACAAAUUACAAUGUAUUUUAUAAAUAUGGGAUUUAUACUAUAAAAAGUACAACUUCAUACAAUAAAAAUAAUUGUUAAAUUUAUUACCGUUACUUCAAAAGUGUAACUACGUUACCGUUAUAGUUACAGAAAAAGAAACGUAACGUUGCCACUAAUCCGUUAUCAAAAAAAGUAACUGUAACGGUAAAGGUGUUACAAGUAACGUGUUACUUCCCAAUCCUGAAAAUAUGAUAUAGUUUAAGAGAAGGACAAUUACGUUAUUUUAUACAAUUGUGUAUAAUAAUCGUGUAUAAUAAUCAGUACUCAAGCCAGCGUUUAUUUCACUGGAGAAUAUUUUCUUAUUGGUUUCUCAUUGAUUACACAUUUAUGUUACAUGCUUCUUCACAUUUUCCGAAUUUGUCGGGAUAAAGGCGAUUCCUCCUCGCCAUCGUCAAUCAGCUUCGAUAGGCACGAAAGUCGUGCGAUUCAUUCAUGAAAUCUUGCGACACGCUCUCGCCACGUUACACGCUCGAUUACAUAAAAGCGUCCCGAACGAGUGCUUCGCAUAGGUGCGUUUGCUCGUGACGUUGCAAUUACCAGUCUCGCGGUGUGCAGUAGUGCUACCCACGUUAGCAAUGGUAGCUCACUAUAGUGCGACGAUAGUGAGUGUGUUGCUGUGUCUGUCUAUACAACGUGGUGGGCACACAAGUAGGACAGCACUUUCCCUGAGUACAUAGAUUGCCCGACUCGUUCCUCAAGCGAAAUUCGCUCCGACAAAUUCAAGAAUGGUACAUUAUGCAGACCACGAAGAAUAAGCGUAACAAAAAAAAAAAUAAAGAAUAACAAAAAAAUAUAAAGUCUCAAAAAUAAAGAGGACUCGGAGCAAAGAGAAACUGUUAAAGACAUUGAAAUAAUUUUAACAUUAUUUAAUUUUUCUAUAUUUAAUUUAAUAAUUUUUCUUAAUUUCGGAGAAAGUAGUUGCAGCAUAAUACUUACGUAUUUCUCCUUUUAAACUGAUCAUAAAAUGGUUAAAUAGAUUUUAUUAUGUUAAAAUAAACAUUUAUCUAGCUAUUUAUCUUUUUAAGAAUAAUAAUAAUUAAGAUUAAAUGUACAAUUCUUGUAGAAAUAAACUUGCAUUUAUUUGUAUUAUAGAUUUACUAUUAUAUAUUUAUUUCUAUAGUUCAAAACAGAAUGCUUAUUACAUCCUUGCACAAAUUAAAGAGAUCAGAUAAUAAAGAGAUUUCUUACUGUGAAUGUGUGAAUAUAUCCUUAAGUUUCAUGACGAAUAUGCACAUACACGUGUCGGCACGUAUAGUGGGUAAACUCCACACGUGUACAGGACGAGAACGAGAAUUGCUUUAAAGCUCGAGCGGAUUCGAUGUAAUCGACCCUUCGUCGUGGGAAACGGUUACUUUUCCUUCCGAGUGGCUGAACACAACUUCGCACGAGAAGCCAUUCUUAUCGUGCAACCUGUGCGCCAUUAAGUGUCUCGUUCCAGAUCUUAGUAAAUGAAUUGAGGAAAUUCAGAAUGUCUUAUCCUACUGUGCGAAUAUGAAUUUAAAGGUACGUUUUUUUGGACUUAAAAAUUUGUUGUUUCUCUUACGACUUUAAUUAAAUUUAAAGAAUAUAAUCAUAAUUGAUAUUUUAAUUAUACUAGAACAUUAUUGGCGUAAAAAACUUGAGUUAUACAAUUUUAAAAUAUAAUUGUAAAAGAUUUAAAUUUAAUGUAAUUUCUUAAAUUUAAUUAGAAUUUAAAUUUUAAACAUUUAAAAUAACACAUUUUUUAAAAUUUAAUUAAAGAUUUGAUUAAUGAAUAUUAAUUCUUAUUAAUAUUUCUUGAUAAAUUUAUAUAUUACUUAUAAGUUUAUUGUUUAUUUAUGCUAUAACUGUGUCAAAACAUGGUAGUUUGUUUUGAAUUGACAUAUGAUAUGUAUCAAGACAAACUAAUUAACAUUAUAAAAAGAACAGCGGAUAUAUAUGAGUUUAAACUUCGUAUUAUUUUUUUAAAAAUGUAAAAAAAUAAAACUUUAUGCAUUAUAUUUUGUGUUAUUAAUAUAUUAUGUAAUGAGAAAUUAUGGAAAUGUUAAUAAUUCUAUGUGAACAAAACAGCAUGUAGUAGUAUACUGAAUUUUAAUAUCUUCUGGUUGUUUGAAGUAAUUGAGUCACGAACGUCGAGCAAGAAUAUUGACGGUAGAAUUGUCUUCGCGACGUACACUUUCGUUUAUGGUGCAAGAUUUUCACUACCAUUUCCGCUCUAAUUCUAUGUAAGUCUUCGUCAUUCGGCAUGUGACGCUAGAUUCUACCAAUAAGAAACUAAAAUUCAAAAAUGAUAUAAUUUUAAUGAUUCGUAUUACAUCAACUGUAGUUUGCUUGUAACAAAAAAAAACAAUAUAAAAAAUAUAUUAUUGCAAUAAUUAAAAUAAUAAGAAAAUUAAGUAGCUUUGUAAGAAUUUUGCGAGACAACUCCGCUUUACGAAACAUUAAAUGAGAAACACUAUUAUAAAUAUUCGAACGAAACAAUCAUGUUUUUUUUUGUAUAGCAAGUGAGCUAAAAAUAGCCUUAUCGGAAUUUUCAAUCAGUCUAAUUUGAAUUAGAAUUUGUUUUGGUGGAGUUGUUUCUUCUUUAUAAAUACGUGUCCUCUUAUAUAAUCGCGCGAAUCCUACUGAGGCAUCACGCGAUACGAGGCAAAAGAGAAUCGCGCAAUAACGAGCUCUCAACGAAUUAUUACACCAGUGUGAAACUUGCAUAAAUCGGAGUUUAAUCAUGACGUCAUCUUCGGUGGGACUUUUUCAUUGUGCUUCUUUCACAAUAUAUCGAUUAAUUUCAUGUCUCUAAAUUGGAACAGCCGCCAUCGAUAAAUGCAUAUUUUUUAAAUAUCCCCCCUCUGUCUCUCUCUCUCACUUUCUUUUCUGCUACAUUAUUUGGAUCUCGAUCGAUAGACGUGCAUAAUGUAUUAGCGCAUGACAGGAUGAUAUCAGCGAUGCGGACGAUGGAUGCAAUUAAGCAUGAUCGAUGACUCGAACGACCGAAUGGCCAAGCGGACCCAGAAGUGCUUAACUGCUCGGCGAGAUGGCAAUGUGUUGUUUCAAAACUGUUCGACCGUCUCGAUCGGCUCGAAUUAAAUCUGAGAAGUAUAAUGUCGUCGUCAUUUUUUAGAACACAAUCUCGUUUGCCUCGAUCAGAAAAUAAAUGGUCUUUAUUAGUAUAACGAAUUCGAAUUUUAUCUUGCUGCCUGUUCAUGCCUAGACUGCAUUCGAUAUAAUUAUUACAUUAGAUCAGAAAUUAUUUUAUCGAAAAUAACAUUAUGCAAUAAAUAUUACGUAGUUUUUGAGAUAUUACUAAAUGCACAAUAAAUAAUUCAUGUUUACUGAAUAUUUUGCCAACUAUUAAUUUAUAGAUCUUUUUACAUUUUCUGCCUCGUUAAAAUUUGCCGCUCAUAACUUCUCAAAUUAUUAUUAUUAAUAAUUUAACACGUUGAACAUAUGUCACACGUAGAAAUAAAACAUUACUUUUUUUGACGUUAAACAAUUGGUUAUUGUAAAAAUAACUGAUAUAAAAAUAACAGUUGUCAUAAAAGUAACUUAAUAAUCUACGUUUAAAAGAAAAUUGUCUCGUUUCUUGAACAGUUGAGAAUUUCUGUACGCGCACGUCUCACGCGAGGGAUUAAUUAACGCGUAAUUUAUCGGGCACCCGUCGUCGAGCUAAGUGAACGGCAAUGACAACGCACGGCGCUGCAGCGAACGAAGGGAACCGCUCGCGAGUUUACGUUCAUUCAUGGCUGUUGGCAAUGCGCACGUCGUCGAACAAAGCAAGAUUAUUUAUAAAACCGAACGACUUCGAUCCCGCCGUUUCUCGUAAACGAAGUUAUUUUCGAAAGUGAUUUCGUGGGACCUUGUUGUGAGGUGAACUCCCCUUCUCUCCCUCCCUCCCUCUCUUCUGAAAUUCUCUCAGGCGUUUUCAAACUCUCUCGUGUCACUGUUAGAAAUUUAUUUUCGUGAUCACGUGAAAAAGAAAUGUCGGUCGACGCCUCUUGUGAGCGGUCCCCGCGAGCACCGAUCGUUACGCCGACAAUAUUGCCGAGGAAAGCAAGUGAAGCGAAAGUGAUUAACGAUACUGCAUGCACCUCAAACAUUCAACAUUGUUCACGAAAGGAAGUCACGUCUUCCGGAAGUAAACCCAGCCGGAAGGAGGUGCUCGAUGCGAAAAGGGCUCGAUUGAGACGGCUUUUCGAAUGUGACGCGAUUGAUUUGGAAAAUUCCCUUCGCGAGCUGGGAUACGCUUUUGUUCCUACGCAACCUUGACCUUUUUCAUCGCGUUUCUUUCGGUUCCACUUACGACCUUGAAGUUUAACGGAUAGGUAUUAAACGCCUCCACUUUCACCGCUUUCGAUUUAAACCGCAUUUAGCGCCGUCUUUCCCAACAUGUCAACAUAAAAUUGCCGCUUGGACAUUUAUAAAGAAUUCGAAAUUUUAUUGCAGAUUGUUUCUGCUUUACAGAUGUCGAUUUAAGAUUUUACUGAUUGGGCACAAGCAAACAGAAAUAAAAAUAAUUUUAAUGUUAUAAA